CGCUGGUGUGCUUGUGGUUCUCGGUGUCCAGGGCAGGGUGCUCUGAUGUGUGCUGGCUCACUCCAGGUGGCUGCUUGCCGGGGCAUGGACCUCUGUGCUCUGUCAUGCUUCUGCUUGGGGUUUGUUAAAGUUAGAGCACCCUAAUCAAUCCUCACUCACUCCACCUGUUGUCCUGGCUUUGUAUGCUGUGCACUGGCUGACAAACAGCACCAGAUUAUGGAAAGCCUUGUGUGAGUAAAUGUCCAGCGUACCUUCCCUGCCUGCCUGAUCUCGUUUCUGCCUCCUGGAUUUCCCUGUUCUGCCCUGCCCUUGUCGGAUAUCUCUCUGGCUUCUGAUCUCUGGACAUCAACCUUGUUUCUGCCUUCUGACUGACACCUCCUGCCUAACCCCUGGAUCUGUUUGCCUGUAUCUGCCUCUCCGUGUCUGACCCUGUUUUUGUGCUUCAUCUACCAAUUCAACCCAAGUCCCCUCAUCCUUUCGCCUGUUACCACUUCCCCGGCUUUGACCCUGUUUCUGUCCCCUGACCACUGGAUUCCACUAACCUACGGGGUUACUUUAAACCAAGGAGUCUCAUUCACAGUCUUAGAUCCUCUGUGACAUCAGCUCGCUGUCACCAGCCUAUAGCAAUGAGGAGCCGAAAAUCAGCACCCAUACUGUCUCAGGGAUUCUGAAAAGGUUAGUGGCUUUUUCUUUGACCUUCACCUUGCCCACAGUUCUCUGCUUAGCCACUGACCUGUCUGCCCUCAGAGGUUCCCGGUCUUGCCGUUGGUGGCUUCCUGCCAAGCUACAUCUAUAGAUCUCAAUAAACCUUUAAACUUCCAUCUGUUGUAUCCGGCUGAAAUUUCGGGUCCCCUUUUCAGUUCAACACACUCUGCCAUGCCCACCAUAUUGUUGCCUGCUGGUCUGCUUGCUAAACUUAUUGGAAUUUUUGUUUUGGGUCCACGAGUGAAAAUAUCACACUGCUUUGUAGUCAAAGACUUUGACCUCUUGCCCAAUGACCACUGAAGAUAGGCACCAACCCAGCAAGGAAAGGAUGGAUGGAUGCAUGGAUGGAUGGAGGGACGGACGGAUGGACGGAUGGCAGCACUUACCAUGAUUUUGACCUUAUAGGUUCCAAUGGAGCAGUCUGCAGGUUCCAAAAACUGUAGAGUACUUUUCAAAUGUUUAGGAUCAUCUGUCAAGCCUAAAUAGAUGUCGAAAAAUAAGGUUAAACUUGUAGUAGGUAAGAUGUGUUCACCAUCAUCUAUAGUGGGAAUGUACAUUAAGGUCCAUUUUAAUGUGAUCAAAACUUAAUGUUCACCUUCCUUUGUAAUGUUGUGAAUAUGUGUGAUGGAUUUUCUCUCCUUAAUUAAUAAGUUAUGUGUGUAAGAUUUACUCUGUACUUUCAGUCAGUGCAAACAUAUAUUGGGGGGCUUUUGAUUGAACGAGCAAGGUUUGUAUCAAAUCUGCUUGGUCAUAAAAAAAGAACCAUCAACACAAGAAGAAAUUGAAACUAAUAGACCCAUUACACUGUUGUGUAUCUGAUUUCCUGUAAAUCACACACUCUACAUGAACUUUCUAAGCAUAUGAUACAUGCACACACAAUUUAAUCUCCAGUUAAUCCAGGCUACACAGAUCUUUUUGGACAUGUAAAAAACAAAUUGUGCCAUGAGCUGAGCUAUAUUUACCGCACACAGGCCCCACUGCUAUAAAAUGUAUGAAAUUGCUAUUCUAAUGUUGCAGCAAUGAUUUAAUAACUAAAUCUCCUGCUGUGGUUUGCAGAUGCUCAGUCUGCACUGAUGAAAAUUCUCUCAACUCGGCAAUAGUUGAGGGAGUGACUAGCAUGACCCUGGUGGAGAUGACCCUGGUUUCAUAUUCAUUCACCUAAUAAUCAUUUGACCACUUUAGGACGAUUCAUAGACUGAUCAUUGAACUUUUAUUCUUAUAGUCAGGCAUUAGGUCAUAAAGCAAGGAUUUUAGUAAAUGUAAUAUAAUGUGUUUUAGUCACUUUUGCUUUUCCAUAUAUAUGUCAGGCCUUGCCUAUGUCUGUGUUUUGUUUUGCUUAGCUUCCUGGUCUGAUCAUUGUUUUUUCUUAUUUUCCCCACAGCCUAUCCCCACACCUGUACCUUGUUUCUUCUAAUUACCUGGUCCCUUUGUUUCCUUGCUUCAUCAUGUUUUUCUGUCGUAUUUAAAGUACUUUUUGGCCUCAGUUCGGGACUGGUUCAUUGUGUAUGUUUUAUAUGUUUUCGUUCUGGUCUGAUUCUGGUCCCCCCCCUGCCUGGUCUGGGAAUAAGAACAAUUAAAGGCUCUGCUCUGUCA
This is a long non-coding RNA of Girardinichthys multiradiatus, 2298 nucleotides long. RefSeq lists it as uncharacterized. NCBI's taxonomy places the organism in Eukaryota, Metazoa, Chordata, Actinopteri, Cyprinodontiformes, Goodeidae. The transcript has 2 exons. The record is from RefSeq and is a predicted model, not a curated record.